RNAcentral lists this ribosomal RNA (305 nucleotides) under uncultured bacterium. RNAcentral's name for it is "bacterial SSU rRNA". It matches the Rfam family "Bacterial small subunit ribosomal RNA", at positions 338 to 641 of the family's 1533-position model. The record is from RNAcentral.
CCUACGGGGGGCAGCAGUGAGGAAUAUUGGUCAAUGGGCUAAGGCCUGAACCAGCCAAGUCGCGUGAGGGAAGACGGUCCUAUGGAUUGUAAACCUCUUUUGUCGGGGAGCAACGAGGCCACGUGUGGCCGAAGUGAGAGUACCCGAAGAAAAAGCAUCGGCUAACUCCGUGCCAGCAGCCGCGGUAAUACGGAGGAUGCGAGCGUUAUCCGGAUUUAUUGGGUUUAAAGGGUGCGUAGGCGGAACAUUAAGUCAGCGGUAAAAUCGAGGGGCUCAACCCCUUUAAGCCGUUGAAACUGGUGAUC